AGCGAUAUCUGAACAUUUGAUCGAGGAAAACAGCUACAAAAAAAUAAUGCGUAUGCUCAAAUUAGCAGCGUGUGCAAUUGUUAGUAACUGGCAACUAUUCUGAGCAAUGCAGAGCUCCUGAGGUUAAGGGUAAGUUAACGGUACUCUGCACACGUUUUAUGCAACCGUGCACCGCAGCACUGCUGAGAUCCAAACAACUUGUGCCUUGUACAGUGAUGGGCAUGGCGGCCUGGGGCUGCGGCAUGGACACACUGAUGGGAACAGCAGGAGUCAGCGUUUGGACAGCGGGGACCGGAGCCUCUACAGACACCACCUGCUGCUCACCCAGCACUGCAGGAGCACAGCUAACCAAGGCCUUGAUUUACCUAUUCCCCCUGUGCUCUGGGGCACAGUGGGGCUGUCCUGGGUGCUGCCGCCCUCCGGUUGCUCCGCCGCCUGAGCCACUCCCUCCUCAGCUUUGCCUUCACUCUUCCCAUCGUUUACUG
Molecule: long non-coding RNA, 485 nt
Organism: Seriola aureovittata
Lineage: Eukaryota; Metazoa; Chordata; Actinopteri; Carangiformes; Carangidae
Exons: 3
Source: RefSeq, a predicted model, not a curated record